ACGGAAGGCAGCAGUGGGGAAUAUUGCACAAUGGGCGCAAGCCUGAUGCAGCGACGCCGCGUGAGUGAUGAAGUAUUUCGGUACGUAAAGCUCUAUCAGCAGGGAAGAUAAUGACGGUACCUGACUAAGAAGCCCCGGCUAACUACGUGCCAGCAGCCGCGGUAAUACGUAGGGGGCAAGCGUUAUCCGGAUUUACUGGGUGUAAAGGGAGUGUAGGUGGCCUGGCAAGCCAGAUGUGAAAGCCCGCGGCUCAACCGCGGGACUGCAUUUGGAACUGUUAGGCUUGAGUGCAGGAGAGGAAAGUGGAAUUCCUAGUGUAGCGGUGAAAUGCGUAGAUAUUAGGAGGAACACCAGUGGCGAAGGCGGCUUUCUGGACUGUAACUGACACUGAGGCUCGAAAGCGUGGGGAGCAAACAGGAUUAGAUACCCUGGUA
This 434-nucleotide ribosomal RNA is filed under the name uncultured Anaerosporobacter sp. RNAcentral describes it as "partial 16S ribosomal RNA". It matches the Rfam family "Bacterial small subunit ribosomal RNA", at positions 341 to 792 of the family's 1533-position model. The record is from RNAcentral. Lineage: Bacteria; Bacillati; Bacillota; Clostridia; Lachnospirales; Lachnospiraceae.